RNAcentral lists this ribosomal RNA (408 nucleotides) under Triticum aestivum (bread wheat). RNAcentral describes it as "partial small subunit ribosomal RNA". Lineage: Eukaryota; Viridiplantae; Streptophyta; Magnoliopsida; Poales; Poaceae. The record is from RNAcentral.
AUGUCGUUCCUCGGCUGCCAUUCUCGGGAAGUAGGCGAGCGAGCAUGGCUCCGUCCGGGUAUUAGUUACUACUGCGCCGCCUCCGUGCUGCCGUGCGCUGAGGACAACGUCCCAUCCUCGGUCUCCCCGACGACGAGGAGUGUUCCUGGGCGGCGGCGGCAGCCGGUGACCAGCUCGCAGCGCAUGCCCCCCGCCACCGCCGAUGGCGCGGCAGAGGGGUUCCUGGUGGACCACCCCGUGCAGUUCGAUGACUGCGUGAUGGCGCUCGUCGAGACGAAGAAGGAGCACAUGCCCGCCGACGGGUACCCCCAGAUGCUGCGGUGGCCGCUCGGGGACCUGGAUUUGGCUGCUGUCAGGAGGGACGCCAUAGAUUGGAUUUGGAAAGUGAGUCCCCGCAUCUUGAUUUGA